RNAcentral lists this transfer RNA (69 nucleotides) under Anolis fuscoauratus. Its description in RNAcentral is "tRNA-Ala". Lineage: Eukaryota; Metazoa; Chordata; Lepidosauria; Squamata; Anolidae. The record is from RNAcentral.
UAAAACUUAUGAACUGCUAGUCCAUAUCUUCUGAAUGCAACUCAAACACUUUCAUUAAGCUAAAGCCUU